AAAUUUACUACUUAAAAAAAUAAUCACGGGACGGGUAAAAAAAUUACAGAACGGGUUUUAUUUUGGAAUUGGGUUAUAAACUUCAGAUUUUUAACAAUUGUCUCAUGGAUUCGUGGUAUAGCGUUACUUAACAACAAUUAUAAACUGUAAAAUAUAUAUA
This 160-nucleotide small RNA is filed under the name Arabidopsis thaliana (thale cress). Its description in RNAcentral is "ATSL263290". The record is from RNAcentral. Lineage: Eukaryota; Viridiplantae; Streptophyta; Magnoliopsida; Brassicales; Brassicaceae.